UCUGGACUCUGUCUAUAAAAUGGCAAUGGAUCCAGGUUGACCAUAAGUGCUAUUGAGGCAUACUAGAGUAGAUGAGCAUGGGGGUAAGGGGUCACCCUAUGUCCAUAUCACAGUAGAUCCCUGAACCAAUCCAGUCCCAGACACGUAGUUGUGGUAAACAUACUUAACAGUCGAUACAAUGUCAACAUGGGUUCUUGAUCCAAUGCACACAAACUAUGACUGCCGGCGGGAGAAACUAAGUGGGGCCGUCAGAGCCCUUCCAUUUCGAGCAAUCGUAAUCUAAAUCAAUGCUGCGUUCCCAGAGGAUUGCCAAGGCAUUGGACUGCUUAUUCUGGAUGGACUCCCACAGAAGACCUGCAAAAUGUCUACACACCACGACAUCUCACAAAGCCUUGAUCAACAAACCCACUUCAUAGCAAAGAGAAGAGAAGAGUAGCAAUGGGCCCAUGUUUCCGGAAAUCCUUACACAGGUGAUGUGGUGUAGCAACGCAGCGGCCUUUUGGAGACAGUUACAGCACCAGCUAGGUACAAUAUCUUGUGUGGCUGGGUCCAGGGUCUCCAAAAGGCUGUAUACAUUUGAGUUGGUAGUGAAUACAUGACAUCAAGAUUCACGUGGUAACCAGGAAGUGGAAACGGAAGUGGUACCUUUCACUCUUCCGCCUUUAACACGCCAAUGUAUUUUUGCUUCUUGUUCUCAUGACUGUAUGCUUGACUGACACAGAGGUCACAGUUACAAAGGAAAAAAAGUUCUUUCAGACAGAGACACAGCAAUGACUCCACAGGUUGUCACCUUUUGUCACCUUGCCACUUUGCACUCCUCAGGUCUCUGAAGAAAUAGGCAAAGAAGGACGCUACAGUGUCAGCUAAUGUGGCCGGUCUUGACUCCCAAAGGAAAUCUGAACAACUACUCCACAACAGAAUCCAGGUUUCUCUGGAAUACAGACAAUGUCUGGGAGCAAGCCUUUCAGUACCUUGAGGUUACGGACAGGGGGAAACAACCACAGGAUGUCCCUUCAGACAAACACUGCAAGAGUCAAUAUGCCACCAGCAAGGCUGCAGAGCUGCUUGGUUAGGACAAAGGGGCCAUAGAUGGAGUCACAGAGGAAGACAGCAAAAAUACUAUCUGUGCCAUGUGAGCAGCCGGAAUCGUGUGUGUCUUCUGUCCUUGUAAAAUAAAAUGCUCUGACUUUAUACACCUAGUUAACUAUUCCUCAUCCUAUUAAAGUGACAAGAUGUUGGGGGAAGGGCAAACUUCUCACGGAUGUGGCCUCUGCGUUUAUUUGCAGACGGUGUGGUUUCCGUGCCUAGCCAGAACUGUGGCUUCGUUGUUAUCCUUGUUUGAAGAUUAAGCAUAAGCUAGGAAGGUGUGCGGUGCCCAGCUGACAAUGGGUGGACCUUUGGUGGUUCACUUUAUGUGUUCCUUUGACAGGGUCAGCUGGAACAUUGUUACUGGCCAGUGUUCCCGCAGCAGUGCUUCUGAAAGGUGUCGGAAGUGGAAUCACCAGACUGAAGGAAGAUGGCUGAUAGAAGUGUAGUGUCACCUACCCACUGAAGCCCUGAAAGUAGAAGAACAAAGGAAGUGAGAAUCUCCCCUCUGUCAGCCAGGAUAUCGCUUCCUCCUUACAGAACUGUGCUCCAGUCUGAGGCAUGAAGGCUUUACCCAGGAGCCUUGCUCUAUGAGACCUGAACUGAGGUUUACACUGUUGGCUCCUGGUUCUGACAUCCUUAAACCCUGGAGAUGGUUGUGAACCCACACAGGCCUCUAAUUUGUGAAUGGACAAUACUGGAACUUUUCAACCUCUUUCCACCAUAGGAAACCAUGUGAUAGAUCUCCUUCGUUGAUUUUGUUUUUCUAACAUACAGCAUGCUUCAUAAAAAAAAAAACUGACAACAUCCAGAGUGAUUGAGAUGAAGUCUGCAACAAACUUUCCAAACAUAUGAUGAGAGUCAAUGAUAUAAAGAUUUAAAAUUUCACAAAUAUAUAUAAAUUAAGCAGCA
This is a non-coding RNA of Myodes glareolus (Bank vole), 1998 nucleotides long. NCBI's taxonomy places the organism in Eukaryota, Metazoa, Chordata, Mammalia, Rodentia, Cricetidae. The record is from RefSeq and is a predicted model, not a curated record.